GAUCAUGCUCAGGAUGAACGCUAGCGAUAGGCUUAACACAUGCAAGUCGAGGGGCAGCAUGGUCUUAGCUUGCUAAGACUGAUGGCGACCGGCGCACGGGUGCGUAACGCGUAUGCAACUUGCCUCACAGAGGGGGAUAACCCGUCGAAAGACGGACUAAUACCGCGUACACUCUAUGUUGGGCAUCCAAUGUAGAGGAAAAGAAAUUCGCUGUGAGAUAGGCA
This 224-nucleotide ribosomal RNA is filed under the name uncultured bacterium. RNAcentral's name for it is "partial 16S ribosomal RNA". It matches the Rfam family "Bacterial small subunit ribosomal RNA", at positions 15 to 231 of the family's 1533-position model. The record is from RNAcentral.